RNAcentral lists this ribosomal RNA (1562 nucleotides) under Ailurops ursinus. RNAcentral describes it as "16S ribosomal RNA". It matches the Rfam family "Bacterial large subunit ribosomal RNA". Lineage: Eukaryota; Metazoa; Chordata; Mammalia; Diprotodontia; Phalangeridae. The record is from RNAcentral.
GCUAAUAAUAGCCCCAACACUUACCAAAUAAACUAUUCUAACCAACCAAACAAAACAUUUAAUCAAUUAAAGUAUGUGAGACAGAACAAAUUAUAAGGCGCAAUAAUGUUAGUACCGCAAGGGAAAAAUGAAAGACUAAUUCAAAGCACUACAAAGCAAAGAUUAAACCUUCUACCUUUUGCAUAAUGGUUUAGCUAGUUAAAUCGGGCAAAAGAAUUAUAUCCGCCCCCCGAAAUCAAGUGAGCUACUAUAAAACAGUAUAUAAGAACCAACCCAUCUAUGUAGCAAAAUAGUGAGAAGAUUUUAUAGUAGAGGUGAAAAGCCAACCGAACUUGAAGAUAGCUGGUUGUCCAAAACACGAAUAUUAGUUCAACUUUAAAUCUCGAUAAAUGUCCUAAUAACCACAACUUAAAUUUAAAGUCUAAUCAAAAGAGGGACAACUCUUUUGACUACGUAAACAAACUUCUUUAGAGGAUAAUGCUAACUACAAAAACAUCGUAGGCCCAAAAGCAGCCACCAAUUAAGAAAGCGUUAAAGCUCAAACACACAUAUAUCUUAAUACCAAUAAUCCAAUCAAAUUCCCUAACAUGACAUUGGACGACUCUAUAAAUGUACAGAAGACAUAAUGCUAAAAUCAGUAACAAGAAACAAUUCUCCCAGCACAAGCCUACAUUAGCAACGGAAUAACCACUAAUAAUUAACAAACCAAUAAUAACAAUCAUAACCUAGAAAAAUUAUUAACCCAUUGUUAAUCCAACACAGGAGUGCAUUAAGGAAAGAUUAAAAAGAAUAAAAGGAACUCGGCAAACAGAAACCCCGCCUGUUUACCAAAAACAUCACCUUUAGCAUAUCAAGUAUUAAAGGCAUCGCCUGCCCAGUGAGUUCAACUUUAACGGCCGCGGUAUCCUGACCGUGCAAAGGUAGCAUAAUCACUUGCCCUCUAAAUAGGGGCUAGUAUGAAUGGCAUUACGAGGGUUUAACUGUCUCUUAUUCUCAAUCAGUGAAAUUGACCUUCCCGUGCAGAGGCAGGAAUAUAAUUACAAGACGAGAAGACCCUAUGGAGCUUAAGAUUCAUAGUCUAAUAUAACUCAACCAAAUCCAACAGGUACAACAUAACAACUAAAUAGACUAUAACCUUCGGUUGGGAUGACCUCGGAGAAUAACAAAACCUCCGAAUGACAUAACCCAGAUCUACCAAUCUAAGUGUGACAACCACCAGUAAUUGACCCAUAUAUUGAUCAACGGAACAAGUUACCCUAGGGAUAACAGCGCAAUCCUAUUUAAGAGCCCAUAUCGACAAUUAGGGUUUACGACCUCGAUGUUGGAUCAGGACAUCCAAAUGGUGCAACCGCUAUUAAUGGUUCGUUUGUUCAACGAUUAAAGUCCUACGUGAUCUGAGUUCAGACCGGAGAAAUUCAGGUCGGUUUCUAUCUGUAUAUUAAUUUCUCCCAGUACGAAAGGACAAGAGAAAUAAGGCCAACGUCACUAACGAGCCCUAAAGACAAGACAUGAAUACAUCUAAAUAUCUUAACUCAACAACUCCAAACUCUAGAAAUAGAGCU